Molecule: long non-coding RNA, 815 nt
Filed under: Olea europaea subsp. europaea
Lineage: Eukaryota; Viridiplantae; Streptophyta; Magnoliopsida; Lamiales; Oleaceae
Source: RNAcentral
AGCGAGUCGAUGAUCUGGGACGCCAGUUGGUAGGGAAGGUCGAGGAUAUAGCUGAUGAUGUUAGAGUGCUACGUGGGCAUUUAGGAAACCUUGAGGAUGAGGUCAUAGCACUCUGAGGUGGUAUAGCAGGCAGACGAUGGGGGUGACGACUAGGAGGGUGAACGAGAGGAGAAUAAAGAUGGGGUCACCAUCAGUCGUGGUCGGAGGAUGCAUUGGAAUUCUUUUUUCAGUCCAUGGAGGAUAGGGUGACCCCGAGGGUAGAUGAGGGGAUAGCCCCGUUGGGGACGGGAGCGACGAUCGAGGACGUGGUGCUGAUGAGGGCGUAUGAGGGGGUCGAGAAGGUAGUAAUGACAGGGCAGAUGAGGGGGUGGGCCUAUCAAGGAUGGGAGCUAUGGUUGAGGAGGUGGUGACGACGAUGACAGAGGAUGAGGUGGCGGUUGUCUAGCGGAGGAGAGGACGAUCCAAGAGGUGGACGAGGGGAGGACGACCAUCGUGACUGGAGCGAAAAAGAGUGCUGUUGAUGUGGCGAAGCUGGUGGUAGACAUGAGGCCGAGAGUGACGUCAUAGUACAUUAUCUCUCCCUUCACGGCUGAGACAAAGAAGAGUAGGUUCGUCGAUGGGACGAUCCCCAACCUAUUUCGGGAGGUGGACCAUGCUAAAUGGAAAGCGUUCGAGACAGAGUAGAGAAGAAUGUUGGCCGGGUUAGUAUUUAUGAUAUUAGUAAAGUACGUUGAGUUACUCGUAUAUGCUUCUUUAACACUUCUCUAUUUCUUUUUUCAGGACCAGCCGUACGAUUGGUACUGUGACGAUCUCCG